RNAcentral lists this ribosomal RNA (483 nucleotides) under uncultured bacterium. RNAcentral's name for it is "bacterial SSU rRNA". It matches the Rfam family "Bacterial small subunit ribosomal RNA", at positions 30 to 507 of the family's 1533-position model. The record is from RNAcentral.
AUUGAACGCUGGCGGCAUGCCUUACACAUGCAAGUCGAACGGCAGCACGGGAGCAAUCCUGGUGGCGAGUGGCGAACGGGUGAGUAAUAUAUCGGAACGUGCCCGGUCGUGGGGGAUAACGUAGCGAAAGCUACGCUAAUACCGCAUACGAUCUACGGAUGAAAGCGGGGGAUCGCAAGACCUCGCGCGAUUGGAGCGGCCGAUAUCAGAUUAGGUAGUUGGUGAGGUAAAGGCUCACCAAGCCGACGAUCUGCAGCUGGUCUGAGAGGACGACCAGCCACACUGGGACUGAGACACGGCCCAGACUCCUACGGGAGGCAGCAGUGGGAAUUUUGGACAAUGGGCGCAAGCCUGAUCCAGCAAUGCCGCGUGCAGGAUGAAGGCCUUCGGGUUGUAAACUGCUUUUGUACGGAACGAAACGGUGAGCUCUAAUACAGUUUGCUAAUGACGGUACCGUAAGAAUAAGCACCGGCUAACUACGUG